AAAAGUUCUACGGGGUAGCAGAAAACAAAGCGCGGGGUUGGCGUAGCCGGCACGUAAUCAGCGUGCCGGCCGCGGAGUGUCUGCAUGCACGGCGGGGCCAAACAUCGUCGUACAGCACAUGCAUGCGGCAGAUUUAGCGGUAUAAGCGACGUUCCGUCGUCCGACCGGGGGAAGCAGCAAUCGGGCGGCGGCGGACGUUUUUUCAUC
This is a non-coding RNA of Burkholderia vietnamiensis G4, 207 nucleotides long. The record is from Rfam. Lineage: Bacteria; Pseudomonadati; Pseudomonadota; Betaproteobacteria; Burkholderiales; Burkholderiaceae.